This 74-nucleotide transfer RNA is filed under the name Serratia marcescens. RNAcentral describes it as "tRNA-Gly". It matches the Rfam family "tRNA". Rfam says of the family: Transfer RNA (tRNA) molecules are approximately 80 nucleotides in length. Their secondary structure includes four short double-helical elements and three loops (D, anti-codon, and T loops). Lineage: Bacteria; Pseudomonadati; Pseudomonadota; Gammaproteobacteria; Enterobacterales; Yersiniaceae. The record is from RNAcentral. RNAcentral also lists the same sequence under 1 other name.
GCGUUUGUAGUUCAGUGGGAGAAUAUCUGCCUUCCAAGCAGAAGACGCCAGUUCGAAUCUGGCCAGACGCUCCA